Molecule: ribosomal RNA, 663 nt
Filed under: uncultured bacterium
Lineage: Bacteria
Description: bacterial SSU rRNA
Rfam family: Bacterial small subunit ribosomal RNA
Source: RNAcentral
AGAAUCAACGCUGGCGGCGUGCCUAACACGUGCAAGUCGAACGAGAAAGUGGAGCAAUCCAUGAGUACAGUGGCGACCGGGUGAGUAACACGUGACCAACCUGCCCUCGAGUGGGGAACAACAGCGGGAAACCGCUGCUAAUACCGCAUAACAUCCUCGGAUCGGAAGGACUGGGGAUCAAAGGAGCAAUCCGCUUGAGGAGGGGGUCGCGGCUGAUUAGCUAGUUGGCGGGGUAAUGGCCCACCAAGGCGAAGAUCGGUAGCCGGCCUGAGAGGGCGCACGGCCACACUGGAACUGAAACACGGUCCAGACUCCUACGGGAGGCAGCAGUGGGGAAUUUUGCGCAAUGGGGGAAACCCUGACGCAGCAACGCCGCGUGGAGGAUGAAGUCCCUUGGGACGUAAACUCCUUUCGACCAAGACGAUAAUGACGGUACUGGUGGAAGAAGCACCGGCUAACUCUGUGCCAGCAGCCGCGGUAAUACAGAGGGUGCGAGCGUUGUUCGGAAUUAUUGGGCGUAAAGGGCGCGUAGGCGGUGCGGUAAGUCACCUGUGAAAUCUCCCGGCUCAACCGGGAAAAUGCAGGCGAAACUGCCGUGCUGGAGUGUGGGAGAGGUGCGUGGAAUUCCCGGUGUAGCGGUGAAAUGCGUAGAUAUCGGGAGGA